This 85-nucleotide transfer RNA is filed under the name Boseongicola aestuarii. Its description in RNAcentral is "tRNA-Leu". It matches the Rfam family "tRNA". From Rfam's summary of the family: Transfer RNA (tRNA) molecules are approximately 80 nucleotides in length. Their secondary structure includes four short double-helical elements and three loops (D, anti-codon, and T loops). The record is from RNAcentral. Lineage: Bacteria; Pseudomonadati; Pseudomonadota; Alphaproteobacteria; Rhodobacterales; Paracoccaceae. RNAcentral also lists the same sequence under 1 other name.
GCCCGAGUGGCGGAAUGGUAGACGCAGCGGAUUCAAAAUCCGCCGCCCAAAAGGCGUGGGGGUUCGACUCCCCCCUCGGGCACCA